Long non-coding RNA from Manihot esculenta (cassava), 842 nucleotides. RefSeq lists it as uncharacterized. Lineage: Eukaryota; Viridiplantae; Streptophyta; Magnoliopsida; Malpighiales; Euphorbiaceae. The record is from RefSeq and is a predicted model, not a curated record. The transcript has 2 exons.
AUCCUCCUGGAAAAAAAAAAAAAAAAAAAAAAAAACCCCUCAGAAUCCCUUUCAUCCUUCAACAGCAUGCGUUCGCCCUCCCACUGUCCCACAGCCUCGCUGUUUUGAGUUUCCGCUUCUCGACUAUCGUUGCCGCCUCUGCCUCUCGUCGUCUUCUCUCGACUCCAUUCUAGAUUUUCACUCACCUCUCUUGUUGUGAGCCUGCGUUUCGCUCUCUAGCGUUCAAUUUUGCGUUGGGUACCACUACCAGUCUAAGGGAUGGGGGGAGUGGAGACUCGAGAACCUGGAUCUGCAGGAGAGUUAUGUAUGCCUUAGCCACUGGAGCAAACCAGGCUAGGCCUACAUUAUUGAAUCUUGAAGUUGCACACAUUUAGGUAUGUAUAUAUAUAUAUACUUUUAGAGAUUCAAUUGAAUUUUGUUAUUAUCAAAAUGUUGGAGACAUUUGUUUUAGAGAGCCAUUAGUGGAAGAGAGUGAAAUUAACUCAUUGUCUUGAUCUGAGAAGCUAUUAUUUGAUUUCUCAUUUUCUCUUUACCGCCUCUGGAAUUUGAACAUUUCAUAUUUCUUACUUUUCUUGAAAUUGUUUACCCAUUUUCUUCCGAUGAAAUUGGGCAUAUGUUUUCAUUCAUGGAGUGCUUUGUGAAGCUUUUUUCAAGAGUGUUAUCACUUGUUGCUUCUUGAUCUAUUUUUGAGUUCAUCGACUUUAUAGCAAUGGUUAGAAUAUAUAGAAUAAGAUAAUUCCAUAUAUCUUUAGACUAAAGCAUUGAGAGAUUUCUUAAUUUGAGCAUCAUUUUCCAACUUUGUGAGGAAAAGGACGUCCAAGCAUCAAUUGUGAUGACCGCCG